Molecule: transfer RNA, 72 nt
Filed under: Cavia porcellus (domestic guinea pig)
Lineage: Eukaryota; Metazoa; Chordata; Mammalia; Rodentia; Caviidae
Rfam family: tRNA
About the family: Transfer RNA (tRNA) molecules are approximately 80 nucleotides in length. Their secondary structure includes four short double-helical elements and three loops (D, anti-codon, and T loops). Further hydrogen bonds mediate the characteristic L-shaped molecular structure. tRNAs have two regions of fundamental functional importance: the anti-codon, which is responsible for specific mRNA codon recognition, and the 3' end, to which the tRNAs corresponding amino acid is attached (by aminoacyl-tRNA synthetases). tRNAs cope with the degeneracy of the genetic code in two manners: having more than one tRNA (with a specific anti-codon) for a particular amino acid; and 'wobble' base-pairing, i.e. permitting non-standard base-pairing at the 3rd anti-codon position.
Source: Rfam by way of RNAcentral
UGGGAUGUAGCUCAGUGGUAGGGCACUUGCCUUGCAUGUGCAAGGCUCUUGGUUCAAUUCCUAGCACCCUGU